Molecule: long non-coding RNA, 1924 nt
Organism: Gallus gallus (chicken)
Lineage: Eukaryota; Metazoa; Chordata; Aves; Galliformes; Phasianidae
Source: Ensembl
UUUUUUUUUCCCCGUGACUCCCAAAGUCUCAAGACUUGUCCCUGCAAGGCAAAGCUACCACUCUGAGAUGGCCACUUCCUCAUAUUGCUUUGCUGAGAAAGGCCUUCCCUCUCCUCUGUGAGAGUUCUAUAAACUGAACACUAAUGACUUGAAGUCGGUGCAGAUGACCUCCAACUGGAAACCUCCGUAUUGUGUCUUUUGAUCAGCAGUUAAGGUUAAUUAACCUGAUUUUCCUUAAUUACUUCAAAUGCCUCAGCUCACCUGUAUACAUGCAGCUUGUCUGGGUUAGACAAGACAUAUAGGAAUGCUCUAAACACUGCUUCCAGUGAUGCCAGAAAUAGUUUACAACUGCGUUGCUUGUCCUCAUGCUUUUCCUCACUCUCAUGAUAUAUUCAGUUUUUAUGGGCAGUGUAUCAUGGUGUGUACCAUAGGUGUCAGUGGAGCAGGGAGGAUCCCGGUAGCUGUCUGCUCAGGUAACAUUUCCUAACAUUAUGUGUGUUUCCUUGUAGAUGUGGUAUUUCUCUCCGAGCAAACUCUCCCUGUACCAGGAUGUAGGAAUAGCUGCUGUGGAAGAAAUUAAUUGAGGUUCUGUAUGAGUCAGUCCUUUAGGGGGCCGAUCAUUUCAUGGCUACUGCUCUCUCGAAGAGAGGAAACGUAGCCUUCUUUUUUUCCUCCAGGGAAAGGAAGGUGAAAAGCAAAUUUCUUAGUUUCUUCUUCUUUGAUAUAUACCACGGUUUGGCACUACGGAACUACUGCAUUUUGGAGAUGCUGCCCUGCUGCUAUAGAUACGUAUCUGGACUCGAUUCACUGCAACCCUGCAGAAAAAUAGUGUUCAAAUUAUUGACAAUUAUUUUUCAAAAUAAUAUUUUCUUUUUCUUUCUUUUUUAUUUUAUUAUUAUUAUUAUUAUUUUAAGUUAUAUUCGGGAAGUCUGACUGAGUGGAUAUUUAAUCCAUCAUCUCCUUUGUAUUUAGUCAUUGUUACCUUUUUAAAGUGUGCUCUCAAUGUGGCAAAUAAAAAGGUAAGUCUAAGGAUAAUAUUGCCAAGGGUUUUGCAAAUACAGAUAUAUUUUCCUUAUUUCUCAUGUAUAAAUAGCCUCACUGCUAUACUGGAAGCUUGGUAGAGUCUUGUUUGGGUUUUAUGUGUGUGAGUAUACUGGAAUGGUAAUUUUGGAAGCCAGAAUUGAGGAUUUCAGCCUGCUCACUUCUAAGUGAGUGUUAAACUGGAUUUGGUGCUGUAAGAGAUGGGAUUGGAAUACAUUUCUGAUAACCAGCACCAGUUAAUUUAAGAUUAUAGUUCACAUCUUCAGAGAUUUUCAGGCUUCUCCAGUGGGAGCAAAGUGCUCAAGAACUAUGAAAGCUCCAGGGCACAGAGCGUAUCCUUAUCUACAACUUUUAUUCUGUGAAAUUAUGUCAUUUGCAUAAGAAUGCAAAAAUUGUGUUCCAAAACAUGCUUUCUAUGCAUGGGAUUGUGAUGAAAUCACCAGUGAUUGCUUUUUAAGUCAUGUUGUGCCUUAUCCUGAGUUAGUAUCUGCAUUUUCUCUGAGGUCUUGCAGUCAGUGGUGUGUAUUCUUAAUACUAUAUGGAAACAAAGAUCUUUUAGAGAUAAAGAUGUUACGUUCAAAGUUAUAUCUUAGUACUUGAAGUCUGGUUGAAAAGCAGUUUUAAUCCUGAUCUCAAAGCUUGAUAUUACUUACUAAAAAUGGUAUCCGUACCAUUAGUUGGUAGGAGUAUCUGUCAUUAUUUUUCUCAGUAGUGUGUGGCAGAAACCCAAAGGCUUUGCCUUCCCUUUUGUGUGCUAUGAAAUCAGGUCCUGUUGGGUCUGAAAUAGACCGAUAACUGAAAGGCAGUGAGAAGGCAGCACCGAAAGGAUCAGGAAUGUAGAAAAAUAAAUGGUGGAAGGUGUGAAGAUGACAUUAGUAAAAUU